GAUGAACGCUGGCGGCGUGCCUAAUACAUGCAAGUAGAACGCUGAAGGAGGAGCUUGCUCUUCUGGAUGAGUUGCGAACGGGUGAGUAACGCGUAGGUAACCUGCCUGGUAGCGGGGGAUAACUAUUGGAAACGAUAGCUAAUACCGCAUGACAACAGUUAUUGCAUGAUAACUGUUUAAAAGGGGCAACUGCUCCACUACCAGAUGGACCUGCGUUGUAUUAGCUAGUUGGUGAGGUAACGGCUCACCAAGGCGACGAUACAUAGCCGACCUGAGAGGGUGAUCGGCCACACUGGGACUGAGACGCGGCCCAGACUCCUACGGGAGGCAGCAGUAGGGAAUCUUCGGCAAUGGACGGAAGUCUGACCGAGCAACGCCGCGUGAGUGAAGAAGGGUUUCGGAUCGUAAAGCUCGGUUGUAAGAGAAGAACGAGUGUGAGAGUGGAAAGUUCACACUGUGACGGUAUCUUACCAGAAAGGGACGGCUAACUACGUG
Molecule: ribosomal RNA, 495 nt
Filed under: uncultured bacterium
Lineage: Bacteria
Description: partial 16S ribosomal RNA
Rfam family: Bacterial small subunit ribosomal RNA
Source: RNAcentral